RNAcentral lists this ribosomal RNA (207 nucleotides) under uncultured bacterium. Its description in RNAcentral is "partial 16S ribosomal RNA". It matches the Rfam family "Bacterial small subunit ribosomal RNA", at positions 568 to 774 of the family's 1533-position model. The record is from RNAcentral.
CUCGUAGGCGGUUUGUCGCGUCUGCUGUGAAAUCCUCAGGCUCAACUUGAGGCGUGCAGUGGGUACGGGCAGACUAGAGUGCGGUAGGGGAGACUGGAAUUCCUGGUGUAGCGGUGGAAUGCGCAGAUAUCAGGAGGAACACCGAUGGCGAAGGCAGGUCUCUGGGCCGUUACUGACGCUGAGGAGCGAAAGCAUGGGGAGCGAACA